AUGUGCCAAAUCAUUCAAGGUUUUUGCCUUGGGACUGUUGACAUCUCGCGUCUUAAUUACGUUGUCAUUUCCCUUAUCCCUAAAGUGAAAGGCGCCGAGCUCAUUUCCCAGUUCAGACCUAUUGCCCUUAUUAAUAAUUUUGCCAAGUUUCCAGCGAAGGGUUUUGCCAACCGUCUCACUCCGAUCGCUAAUAGAACCAGUAGUCAAUUUCAGUCUGCCUUCAUCAAGGGUCGUUUUAUUCUAGAUGGGAUCAUUUGCCCUCAUGAGAUUGUGCAUGGCCUUAAGAUUCGUAAUUCCCAAGCGGUGAUUCUUAAGCUGGACUUUGAGAAAGCGUACGACUCGGUUAUUUGGCCUUUUCUUCGAAAGGUGAUGCUUGCCAAAGGCUUUGAUGGAGCCUAUGUUCACAGGGUUAUGCAGUUGGUAUCGGGGGGCCACACUGCAGUUUCUGUUAAUGGUCAGAUCAGUAACUAUUUUGCCAAUGGUCGGGGCCUACGGCAAGGUGAUCCUGCCUCCCCUAUUCUGUUCAAAUUUGUCGCGGAUGCCUUAUCUCGUAUUCUUUCCCGAGCAGCUGCUCAUGCUCACAUCUCCCCAGUAACUUCUCACCUCAUUUCGGAUGGGGUCGCCCACCUCCAAUAUGCGAAUGACACUAUUAUCAUGGUUGAGUUGAAUUAUUCCUGCCUUGCUCACCACAAGUUUAUUCUUCUAUAUUUCGAGGCCUUGUCGGGUCUCAAGAUUAAUUUCUCUAAAAGUGAAGUCGUUGUGACUGCUGUGGAAGACACCGAGGCUCUAUGA
Molecule: ribosomal RNA, 792 nt
Filed under: Triticum aestivum (bread wheat)
Lineage: Eukaryota; Viridiplantae; Streptophyta; Magnoliopsida; Poales; Poaceae
Description: partial small subunit ribosomal RNA
Source: RNAcentral